GUGAAUCAUCAAAUUUUUGAACGCAUAUUGCACUCUCUGGUAUUCCGGAGAGUAUGCCUGUUUGAGGGUAAUUAAAAAGAACCUUUAACCAAUUUUUUUUGGUCAAAGGAAAUGAGUUCUCCGCGGUUAUUGCGGUAGCUGGAAAUAAAUGGUAGUUUCAUUUUAGUCGAGACGAGUAAUAAUAUUAUUUCGCGAAAGCUUCAUUAGUGGACAAUC
RNAcentral lists this unclassified non-coding RNA (216 nucleotides) under Ambisporaceae sp. RNAcentral describes it as "partial contains 5.8S ribosomal RNA and internal transcribed spacer 2". The stretch from base 1 to 71 matches the Rfam family "5.8S ribosomal RNA", at positions 84 to 154 of the family's 154-position model. The record is from RNAcentral. Lineage: Eukaryota; Fungi; Glomeromycota; Glomeromycetes; Archaeosporales; Ambisporaceae.